AGCUUGCUUUUGAAGAUGACGAGCGGCGGACGGGUGAGUAAUGCCUGGGAAUAUGCCUUGAUGUGGGGGAUAACCAUUGGAAACGAUGGCUAAUACCGCAUAAUGCCUACGGGCCAAAGAGGGGGAUCUUCGGACCUCUCGCGUCAAGAUUAGCCCAGGUGGGAUUAGCUAGUUGGUGAGGUAAUGGCUCACCAAGGCGACGAUCCCUAGCUGGUCUGAGAGGAUGAUCAGCCACACUGGAACUGAGACACGGUCCAGACUCCUACGGGAGGCAGCAGUGGGGAAUAUUGCACAAUGGGCGCAAGCCUGAUGCAGCCAUGCCGCGUGUGUGAAGAAGGCCUUCGGGUUGUAAAGCACUUUCAGUCGUGAGGAAGGUAGUUGCGUUAAUAGCGUAAUUAUUUGACGUUAGCGACAGAAGAAGCACCGGCUAACUCCGUGCCAGCAGCCGCGGUAAUACGGAGGGUGCGAGCGUUAAUCGGAAUUACUGGGCGUAAAGCGCAUGCAGGUGGUUUGUUAAGUCAGAUGUGAAAGCCCGGGGCUCAACCUCGGAAUUGCAUUUGAAACUGGCAGACUAGAGUACUGUAGAGGGGGGUAGAAUUUCAGGUGUAGCGGUGAAAUGCGUAGAGAUCUGAAGGAAUACCGGUGGCGAAGGCGGCCCCCUGGACAGAUACUGACACUCAGAUGCGAAAGCGUGGGGAGCAAACAGGAUUAGAUACCCUGGUAGUCCACGCCGUAAACGAUGUCUACUUGGAGGUUGUGGCCUUGAGCCGUGGCUUUCGGAGCUAACGCGUUAAGUAGACCGCCUGGGGAGUACGGUCGCAAGAUUAAAACUCAAAUGAAUUGACGGGGGCCCGCACAAGCGGUGGAGCAUGUGGUUUAAUUCGAUGCAACGCGAAGAACCUUACCUACUCUUGACAUCCAGAGAAGCCAGCGGAGACGCAGGUGUGCCUUCGGGAACUCUGAGACAGGUGCUGCAUGGCUGUCGUCAGCUCGUGUUGUGAAAUGUUGGGUUAAGUCCCGCAACGAGCGCAACCCUUAUCCUUGUUUGCCAGCGAGUAAUGUCGGGAACUCCAGGGAGACUGCCGGUGAUAAACCGGAGGAAGGUGGGGACGACGUCAAGUCAUCAUGGCCCUUACGAGUAGGGCUACACACGUGCUACAAUGGCGCAUACAGAGGGCUGCCAACCAGCGAUGGUGAGCGAAUCCCAAAAAGUGCGUCGUAGUCCGGAUUGGAGUCUGCAACUCGACUCCAUGAAGUCGGAAUCGCUAGUAAUCGUGGAUCAGAAUGCCACGGUGAAUACGUUCCCGGGCCUUGUACACACCGCCCGUCACACCAUGGGAGUGGGCUGCAAAAGAAGUGGGUAGUUAACCUUC
This 1373-nucleotide ribosomal RNA is filed under the name Vibrio sp. HGLP-40. RNAcentral's name for it is "bacterial SSU rRNA". It matches the Rfam family "Bacterial small subunit ribosomal RNA", at positions 65 to 1443 of the family's 1533-position model. The record is from RNAcentral. Lineage: Bacteria; Pseudomonadati; Pseudomonadota; Gammaproteobacteria; Vibrionales; Vibrionaceae.